This 572-nucleotide long non-coding RNA is filed under the name Mustela putorius furo (domestic ferret). Its description in RNAcentral is "lncRNA (ENSMPUG00000030614.1)". Lineage: Eukaryota; Metazoa; Chordata; Mammalia; Carnivora; Mustelidae. The record is from RNAcentral.
UCCGUGUGAGAAGUACCUCAGUACUAAGGACCUGAGUGUAUUGCCUAGAGUGAGAGGACAAGAAGUGAAAGGAAAAGUAUGGACAAGGCACUUGUCCCUGGGAGUUUUGAUUUUAAGAAAACAAUCCUAGAUGAGGAAAAGAAAUAUGAACUCGGUCUCAAUAAGGAUUUCUGACCGGAGGGAAGCACCUCCAUGAGUACUGAGUUCUUCAAACACAGGGGUUGAGCCUAAGUACACUCCAGGAAAAAUCCUCCUGCUGACUAAUCUCCCUCUCAGAGUCUGCUUCCAAGGGAACCCAACCUAUGACAAUGCUCAACACAGUAAUCAUCAGGAAAAUGCAAAUGAAAACCAUAAGGAGAUGCCACUUCACAUCAGCCCAAAGGGCUUUGAAGAAAGACUGAUGAAACCAAAUGCUGGUGAAGAUGUGGAAAAAGUGGAGCUCUCAUACACUGGUGGUGAGGGUACAAAAUUGUACCCUCAUAUUGGAGAAUUGUUUGGCAGCUUCUAAGAAGGUCAAAUACAUAUCUAACCUAUGACCCAGCAAUUCCAUCCUUAACCAAUCCUUACCCAAG